RNAcentral lists this ribosomal RNA (433 nucleotides) under uncultured bacterium. RNAcentral describes it as "partial 16S ribosomal RNA". It matches the Rfam family "Bacterial small subunit ribosomal RNA", at positions 29 to 507 of the family's 1533-position model. The record is from RNAcentral.
AACGAACGCUGGCGGCAUGCCUAACACAUGCAAGUCGAACGAGACCUUCGGGUCUAGUGGCGCACGGGUGCGUAACGCGUGGGAACCUGCCCUUAGGUUCGGAAUAACUCCCCGAAAGGGGUGCUAAUACCGGAUAAUGUCUUCGGACCAAAGAUUUAUCGCCUUUGGAUGGGCCCGCGUUGGAUUAGCUAGUAGGUAGGGUAAAAGCCUACCAAGGCGACGAUCCAUAGCUGGUCAGAGAGGAUGAUCAGCCACACUAGGACUGAGACACGGCCCAGACUCCUACGGGAGGCAGCAGUGGGGAAUAUUGAACAAUGGGCGAAAGCCUGAUCCAGCAAUGCCGCGUGAGUGAUGAAGGCCUUAGGGUUGUAAAGCCCUUUUACCCGGGAUGAUAAUGACAGUACCGGGAGAAUAAGCUCCGGCUAACUCCGUG